CCUCAGACAUUGGCCCCAGUUGGAAGCCCCCACUGAGAUGUAGGUGAAGCUGACUACCUAAAAGCUGACCUGUGGCAUCACCAUGACAACUGACCCAGUGCAGUGGCAAAGAUGACGAAUUUCAUGUUACAAGAGACUCAUUUGAAAGGUCAUGGCAAGCUUAUGCAACAUACAAGUGCACACUAAGCCUGUACAAUAGACUGUGUGAGCUGGAAGGGAAGUGAUCGAGGCGUCUGGGCCCUCUGGGUGGCACUCACACAAACUGCAGAAAAUUGGCCAAAAUCCAGAGCCCUGGCAUUAGUUCCAACUCUAGAAGAAAUAACCACUACAGUUAAAGCCUUGAAAAAUGAUAAAGCAUCUAGAUGUGAUGACGUUCCUGCAGAAACCUACCAACGAGAAGGGGAUCCAAUCCUCUAACAUAAGUUUGAGCUCUUCUUCAACCUAUGGAAUGCUAAAGAAAUGCCACAGGACUUCAAAAAUGCCACCAUAAAUCACCAUCUUCAAGAAAAAAGGGGGAGAGAGCUGAUGAUCAAAACUACUAGGUAAAUAUAACUGCUUUCCAUUGCCUACAAGAACUGUUCCGAACGGACUGCCGAAAAGCAAUCAACUGAACACAACCUAAAUGACAGUGUGGCUGCAGACCCAAAUACAGCACAGAAAAUAGAA
Molecule: long non-coding RNA, 666 nt
Organism: Ornithorhynchus anatinus (platypus)
Lineage: Eukaryota; Metazoa; Chordata; Mammalia; Monotremata; Ornithorhynchidae
Exons: 2
Source: RefSeq, a predicted model, not a curated record